UAGUCUACGCCGUAAACGAUGAAUGCUAACUGUGGGAUGGUUCGACCUUUCCGUAGUACAGUUAACACGUUAAGCAUUCCGCCUGGGGAGUACGAUCGCAAGAUUAAAACUCAAAGGAAUUGACGGGGACCCGCACGAAGCGGUGGAGCGUGUUGUUUAAUUGGACGCUAAGCCAAGAACCUUACCAGGGCUUGACAUCCUCCGAAGUUCGCUGAAAGGCGAAUGUGCUUUUAGAACGGAGUGACAGGUGCUGCAUGGCCGUCGUCAGCUCGUGUCGUGAGAUGUUGGGUUAAGUCCCUCAACGAGCGCAACCCUUAUGUUUAGUUGGAUUUUUUCUAAACAGACUGCCUCGGUAACGGGGAGGAAGGAGGGGAUGAUGUCAGGUCAGUAUUGGCCCUUAGCCCUGGGCUACAAACGCGCUACAAUGGGCCAGUACAAUGGGGAAGCCAAAUCGCGAGAUGGAGCAAACCCCACCAAAGCUAGGUCUCGAGUUCGGAUAGCAGGCUGAAACUCGCCUGCUUGAAG
This 525-nucleotide ribosomal RNA is filed under the name uncultured bacterium. RNAcentral's name for it is "bacterial SSU rRNA". It matches the Rfam family "Bacterial small subunit ribosomal RNA", at positions 791 to 1325 of the family's 1533-position model. The record is from RNAcentral.